Molecule: unclassified non-coding RNA, 3363 nt
Filed under: Actinia tenebrosa (Australian red waratah sea anemone)
Lineage: Eukaryota; Metazoa; Cnidaria; Anthozoa; Actiniaria; Actiniidae
Description: uncharacterized LOC116297555, transcript variant X1
Source: RNAcentral
GAUGGUUGUUGACUCCACGUGCGCUUAUUGCAUCGUUUCACUUGAGCAAAAUACUCGAAUACUUUGAAAUAAUUCAAGACUCAAGUUUCCCAGACUACUUGUGGAUUUUUGAAACUACAUUCAGCGCUUUAACCAAUGGCGUACACCAAUGAUAUUUCUAAGGCUCUUUUAGACCUUUUAAGAGGGACAAACCAGGUGGCUCCUCAAGGUAACAGAUCUCCAGUUCAAGUUUACCAAGAGGAAAGAGAUGAUUUACAUUUAGAAUGUCAUGAGAAAGAAAGAUCAUUAAGUCCAAGGGAGCUACACAGGUGGAGAAAAAGCCUUUUUUCUGUGUAUGUAGGUAGACUGCCAUCUGACNUAACAUUGAGGGAACUUGUCCAGUUUUUUAGUGAAGUGGGUGUUCCAAAAGAUGUGUUUAUAACUCCACCUGAAGGCAACAGAAGUUACACUUAUGGGUUUUUGCGGUUUGCAACUCUAGCAGAAGCACGUAAAGCUGUUUCUUGUAUGAAUGGACGUAUCCUCGGCAACAGACAUGUUUUGGUGGAAAUUUCGGCCGAAACACGCGAAAAUCUCAACGUCAAAGAAGAAAAAGAGGUUAUCUGUGAUGCUAAUGACAGGCUUCUCAGAAAGGAAUAUCCAAGUGUUCGUCGUCGUUCGGUGCCUGACAACCAAGAGGAUUUCAUCCAGUCGAAACUUCUUCAAUCACUUGCAAAGCUCAAGUCAGACCAGGCCAGUGUUGUAAGUGCGGGCUGUAAAGAUAGUGAAGAGAGUAACGGCCCAUCAUUUCUCGACAAACUAGAAGAAAUCCUAAAGAAGGUUAUGAAAGAAUUCCCAGGUGAGACUACCACCAGACCCACUGCGGACGAGGGACCUGUUUGUACCAUAACAUUAGAAGAUAUGCGGCAAGACUCACUGGAAGCAUCCAAGAACACUCAAAGUUUAGAGUCACCACCUAUGAAUGGUGUUAAUCACUCGCCUAUAAAUAGUGAGCACUCGUUUGUAAAACCAGUGGACACUUCUGUUGCCUUUGUUCCAGGGCCCAUAGGUUUGGAUAAUGGCUUCACUCAAAGUCCAGGGUCACCGCCUAUGAAUGGCAAUAAUCACUCGCCUAUAAAUAGUGAGCACUAUGCGAAACCAGUAGACAAUUCCAUUACCUUUCUCCCAAAAUCCAAGGGCUUGGAUAUGCGACAGGACACGUGGCAAAACUCACUGGAAACACCGAAAAGUACUCGAAGCGUAAGGUCACCGCCUAUGAAUGGCGAGCACUCGUUUGUAAAACCAGUAGACACUUCCGUUGCCUUUGUUCCAGAGUCCAUAGGUUUGGAUAAUGGCUUCCCUGAAUCACAGUCAGAACAAUCUAUGCAUAUCAAAAGUGCUAUCUUUCCGGUUGAAACUUGGAAGGCUGACACCCAUUCCAGUAGCGCAUUGCCUUUAACUAAGUCUACCUUAUCUGGGGAUGAUCUUCGUUUGCAAGAAUUAAAAAUAUCUGAGAGGCAAAACCACGAUACCAAUAGUUCUUCACUUGACCCUUAUGUGUUAUCUAAGAUGAGAGACAUUCCUUGUCAGGAUGUACGGUGUAGAAGUCAGGAGACAAGUCCCAUAGUUCAAAGUAGAAAAUCACCAGUUGCCAAACAGGUAUCUCCUGUAAGCAGAACUGGAGAAGAUUUGAUCAAUGUUAAUGGCAGCCAUCAAGAAGGGUGGUUUAGAAGCGAACCAAGUCCCAUAGUUCACAGUGAAAGAUUACCAAUUGCCAACCAGGUUUCUUGUGUAAGCAGGACUGCAGAAGCGUUGAUUAACAGUGAUGGUAUCAAUGAAGAGAUGAGAAACCAUGAGACAAGUCCCAUAGGUCACAGUGAAAGAUCACCACUUACCAACCAGGUAUCUCGUGAGAGCAGGACUGAAGAACUGUUGAUUAACAGUGAUGGUACCAAUGAAGGGAUUAGAAAUCUUAAGACAAGUCCUAUAGGUCACAGUGAAAGAUCGCCACUUACCAACCAGGUAUCUCGUGAGAGCAGGACUGGAGAAGCGUUGAUUAACAGUGAUGGUACAAAUGAAGAGAUGAGAAACCAUGAGACAAGUCCCAUAGGUCAAAGUGAAAGAUCACCAGUUGCCAACAGGGUUUCUCUUAUGAGCAGGACUUACGCUGCGAUGGAAGCACAACUCAAAGCACACACGCCUUCAAGUUCAAAAGAUAACGACUCACCAAUUAUAAGUAGCUUCAAUUCCCAAAGACAAACAUCCAGUAGCACAGUGAAGGAAAACAUAAAAGCUACUAAUGGUAAUAGUGGCCACGGUCUUUCUUUCCAAGAGCAAAUAUCUCAUAUAGACGAUGGAUCUGGAAGAGAUCCUAAAGAUACACAACACUUAGCUCCAGAUAAUGUUAUGACUUCUACAGAGAUCACCCAGGAUUCCACACGAAGAAGGCAGCAUUCACAUAAUGGAGAAAACACGGAAUUGAAAGGAAGGGAGGUUAGUUUUUCUUCCUUGGAUGAAGAACGAGGGGAUGAUACCAGAAUGCUAGUACAGACACACGAAUCAAAUGGACAUAAGCUCUGCGAAACAGAUUCUUUGAACGAAGAGAAAGAUGAAGACAGGAAAGAUAUGGAAGGAAUUUCUCCACAACGGACACCAGAUCUGGAGCAAUACCAACCAAAAUAUCAACAGGAACAACUGCCAUUGCAACAAGAACACCUUUCAUUUAAGCAACGUUCUGUGCAUGACCUUCAGUUGAAGCUUGGGGAAAUUAUAAAGGAGAACGAACGCCUUCACUCCGCGCUACCAGAACACUAUAAAGACAAGAACACAAGUGGAAUGUACCCGGACAAAGAGAUGUUAAACCUAGAGGAGUCGAUCCACAUUUACGAAGUUGAAUACCAGCGUGAAAUGGAGGUUGCAGUAGCCAGGAAUGCUGAACACGAGUUACUAUACGAGAGAGAAAAACUGUCUGCAGCUUUUGAUACCAACUUACAGAAAGAGCUUGACCUUGAACUUCAAAUGGAGAUGAUGAAGAACGAGAUAAAGUUAGCCAACAUGGCCAACCAGUUACUUACAUUCUACCAGAAGAGAAAUGAUAUGCAAUAAGCCACACCCAGUAUGGACCGGUAGACCCCCCCCCCCAAAAUGCUACGUCACUGUUGCCAUAGCAACUGCCAUUAUUAUAAAGACGUUGAUAUUUACACUGAGUUUUAAUGAAACUCGUUAGCUUCCUAGAUAAUAGACUUUUAGUUUGGGCAUGGAGAUACCUAAUUCAUGAAUGAGUUUCAUUUUUUGGCUUCCAUUUAAAUUUAUAUAACAAUUAAAACUGUUAUUUUCAAGGAAAUGAUACGUGGUCGGAUAUAAAGGGACGGUUCUUUUUUUAAGGGC